UCCAAAUGAGAUCUCGUGGAAACGGAAGCUUGCGGCGGCGGAAAAGUGUUUUCGUGGAUUCCCCUAUUUUUUCUGUAUUUUAGGGAAUAUAUAGGCGAAGGAGCUAGGUCAGGGGGGCGCUAGGGAGGCCACAAGCCUGGUAGCCGCCGCCCCCUGGUGGCGGCUACAGGGCUUGUGGGCCCCCUGUGGCUCUCCUGCCUUGGCCCUCAAGUCCCCUGAUCUUCUUCCGUUCUGGAAAAAUUUAUUUCGGGGAUUUUAUUCCGUUUGGACUCC
RNAcentral lists this long non-coding RNA (273 nucleotides) under Hordeum vulgare. RNAcentral's name for it is "long non-coding RNA (HVUL_LNC017374)". Lineage: Eukaryota; Viridiplantae; Streptophyta; Magnoliopsida; Poales; Poaceae. The record is from RNAcentral.